AAAUGACUCCAAUAAAUAUCUCAGCUCUCACAUCAAUGAAUAACGUAGUAAAAUACGAUAUCUUAUGUGAAUUGCAAAUUUUUCUAAACAUCAAGUUUUUAAAUUUAAGUUGCAAGUUACAUCUGAAGCUUUUAGGUCGAAAUAAUCGAAGCACGUCUACUUGGUAUCA
Molecule: ribosomal RNA, 169 nt
Filed under: Capsicum annuum
Lineage: Eukaryota; Viridiplantae; Streptophyta; Magnoliopsida; Solanales; Solanaceae
Description: 5.8S ribosomal RNA
Rfam family: 5.8S ribosomal RNA
About the family: 5.8S ribosomal RNA (5.8S rRNA) is a component of the large subunit of the eukaryotic ribosome. It is transcribed by RNA polymerase I as part of the 45S precursor that also contains 18S and 28S rRNA.
Source: Rfam by way of RNAcentral